AAUUAGGGGUAAGAAAAAUUGUGAUAGAAAAAAAUGUACAGAAAUUAACUAGACCAAUUAUGGACACUGAUGAAGAUAGGAUUAGGUUGAGAGAAAGAGAGAAAAAGUAGGAAUUAGAGAGAGAUGGAGACAAAUUGAGAAGAUAAAAUUAGAGGUAAGAAAAAUUGUAAUAGAAAAAAAUGUACAGAAAUUAACUAGACCAAUUAUGGACACUGAUGAAGAUAGGAUUAGGUUGAGAGAAAGAGAGAGAAAGCAGGAAUUAGAGAGAGAUGGAGACAAAAUGAGAGGAUAAAAUUAGGGGUAAGAAAAAUUGUAAUAGAAAAAAAUGUACAGAAAUUAACUAGACCAAUUAUGGACACUGAUG
Long non-coding RNA from Eriocheir sinensis (Chinese mitten crab), 364 nucleotides. RefSeq lists it as uncharacterized. The record is from RefSeq and is a predicted model, not a curated record. The transcript has 3 exons. NCBI's taxonomy places the organism in Eukaryota, Metazoa, Arthropoda, Malacostraca, Decapoda, Varunidae.